CAGGCGUUGCUAGGCGACAGGCGGUCCCUGCCAGACUCGGAGAACCCGAGAAGUGGGGGCCCGGCUCUCAGAGCCUGAGGGGCGUGAGGGGUGUACUGGUCCCGCCCCGCCCCGUGGUCAGCCUCAGCUGGCCAAAUGCAACCCGGCUGCAAGUGGCCUGGCUCCGCCCCCGCCUGCCAGGCUAGGAAGCCGGGCGGAGAGGGCUUGGAUCUGAGCUAGUUCUAGUGCACAGUGGCUUGAGUCGUGGGAGAGGCACAGAAGUCCUCCUCCUACCUCUGCCUUCUUCCUCCUGCAGGGGACUCGGGAGAGGCCCUGCCAUGAUUCUACUGGGGCAGAAGCCUUAGACUCCUGAACUUUUCAGUCGGAAGGAAUCUGGGAGUAAAUGUGGGUCAGUUGCCAUUCAUUAAUUUUUUCAUGCACUAAAUUAGUUUUCUAGCUCCUCCUAAGUGUCAGACGCUGUGCUAGGCUCCGAGGAUGAAGGAUCAAAAACACAGUCUCUCCAGUUGCUGGGGCCUACAAUCUAGGAUCUAAUGGGGAGACAAAACAAAUAAGCAAACAAAACCAAAAAUGUCUGCAUCUGUGUUUUAAACACAUACACACUGUGGUGCUAGAAGGGAAGCAGAGGAGGCGGUGGACAAGCACAAAGGAGCAGCUUAGGUGGGAGAUGGCCUCCCUGAGCAGGUGACAUCUAACCCAUGCCCUGCGGGGACGAGGGACCACAGAAGCCCGGGGGAGUGACUUCACCAAGGUCACAUGGAGGGGUGGGCACAGAGCUGGGCCUGGGACACAGGUGCCCUCACUGGUGCCCAUCUGCAUUUCCCCAUCUGUGUACCGUGGCCUUCCUGAUGGGCUCCUUGCCCUGGCUCAGGGCCGGAAGGGAGGAAACGCUGCCAUCAGUCAAGCUCAGAUCGCUCCCACCAGGAUGAGGGCAGGGAAGCAGGAGGAUCUAAAGACCGAGUCCUCAGCGUGCAGAGUUUACAACUGUAAGAUCAUUAUGUACAGUGCAGCUUCUGCUGCCCACUCCCUACCAAGACAGGAGAGUGUGUCUCGAAAUCUGUGUCUGUACAUGCAAAGUGAAGAACUGUGGAGCACUGUGAACACACCUUGCUGCAGGUUUGGGAGUUACAUCUCUUCCCCCUAUAUCAUUUUGGAAGGCCCAGCAAGAUUACUGGAUGGAGGUAAGUUUUAAGUUUCUAACUGUGCUUCAUAGAUUGUAACUUUUGUUUCAUAGGCUCUGGACAUUUGUUUCACAGAAUCUGAAUUUUGUUCCAUACUUUUUGGCCUUUGUUUCAGCUUUUUGUUUCAAAAGUAUCUCAAUUUUAAGCCAUACUGUGAGGCAGGCAGUGGAACCACUGAGCUAAAUCCCCGGCUUAUUCUUGUUUUGUAUAUGCUGCAUUUGGACUUAGUUGCUUAAAAAUGUUGUAAAAUAGGUCUCAUAAAAUAGGUCUCAGAUAAAGACAGUUCAGGCUUUUAUCUAUCCCUUAUAAAAUGCCAAAUGGUGUUUACUCUGUCAGCUAGUAAUUGCAUUUAGGGCAGCUGUAAUUCUCAAAGCAGAGGACAGACAGGUUUCUCCAGUUGCUCUCCGGUAAAUCCCCACUCCCUCUGAAGCCAAUGGAAGGUGGAACAUUGACCAGAUGGGUAAUUUGGUUUCUUUCAGAGACAUAUCUGUGAUCAUGUGGAACUAGUGGAAACUGAGGUGACAACUGAGGGGUCAUGGCUCUGAUGGAUACCCACCGGUCCCUCUGAAGAAACUAGCUUCUAAUAGCUGGUCCGGGUAAUCAGAACCACACCCACAGCUGUUCAAGUUAAAAUUUCAGAAAUCCAGGUUCAUCACUCUCGAAUCAAGAAGGCCCACCACAAUGACUCCUGGGAGGCCCACACCAACAAGACGACUUCCUUAAAGGUCACCCUGAGGAGACAACGAACUCAAAGCCCUGCUCCUGUCACUCUGGACACUGACAGGCCAAUGCAUGCCUGAAGCCUGAGGACCUCAAUCCAAGAACCACUGCCGCACUUUCCAGACUUUGUCUUUCCCUGACAUCUUUAUUCUGGCCUUCCUCAUAGUGUCUGCGUUUAUUCUUGGUAUAGGCUUAAUAACUGUUACUCCAGAGGACUGGAAUACUUUCCAAAGAUGUUUCCUCUUAGCUAUAUGUUGGGAUUUUAUGCUGGUGUUUGCUAUCCUCUCAUUUAGACUGACUCAGGAAAACCCUAACACCUGAUAAAGUGUCCUAGGUGACUGGAAGACAUAGAUAGGUGCUUUAUUAGGACUUCUCUUUGAUAGCCUCAUGUUAUUAACAAUCGGCCCAAGCUUUAUAAAUUGGUUCAUGAGCUUUUUCUCAACCUUAACUCCAUAGAGAUCCAAAAAUCAUACCAACUGAUGAUAACUUCAAGGUCUAAUGUUUAUACUCACACAUGUAAAAACAUAGACUAGCAAACAAGGUGAAGAUUUAACUAUAAUCAAAAAAGAACAGGGAAUGAACAGGGAAAUGGUUUCUGACCAGAAGAAGCCUGUGCUGCAGCUAGCCGGGUAGCAAGCAAAAGGCUCCUCCUAGGUCCCGACCCCUCCUGCACCUAAAACAUGCCCAGGUCUCACACGUGCCCAGACAUUGCCCUUUGUUCUCAGUAGAGUUUCUGUGAGCCCCUGCUUCCCUAUGUAAAUAAGAUGAAUCCCAGUGUGCCUUUUUAUCCAAUGUAUAAACUGCUGACUGUAUCUACCUCAACCAAUGCACUAAUGUUAGUGUCUUGCCGCUGUAUCCUCACCCCUCUUUUCCCAAAUCUAUAUAACCCUGUUCAUUGCCCAGAUGGGACUGAUCACUUUGUGGAGAAUUCCCCUGAUCCGUCUGCUAGUGAAAUAAACCUGCCUCCAACUUCCAGGGUGUGUGCUCGAUUCUUCUCGGCCUGACUCUGUUAUAUCACCGAGAGCUACAACAUUGGGAGUUAUAUUUGCUAUAAUAGUGGUGCACAC
This 2965-nucleotide long non-coding RNA is filed under the name Fukomys damarensis (Damara mole-rat). RNAcentral describes it as "lncRNA (ENSFDAG00000026583.1)". Lineage: Eukaryota; Metazoa; Chordata; Mammalia; Rodentia; Bathyergidae. The record is from RNAcentral.